RNAcentral lists this transfer RNA (72 nucleotides) under Anneissia japonica. RNAcentral's name for it is "tRNA-Thr". It matches the Rfam family "tRNA". From Rfam's summary of the family: Transfer RNA (tRNA) molecules are approximately 80 nucleotides in length. Their secondary structure includes four short double-helical elements and three loops (D, anti-codon, and T loops). Further hydrogen bonds mediate the characteristic L-shaped molecular structure. tRNAs have two regions of fundamental functional importance: the anti-codon, which is responsible for specific mRNA codon recognition, and the 3' end, to which the tRNAs corresponding amino acid is attached (by aminoacyl-tRNA synthetases). tRNAs cope with the degeneracy of the genetic code in two manners: having more than one tRNA (with a specific anti-codon) for a particular amino acid; and 'wobble' base-pairing, i.e. permitting non-standard base-pairing at the 3rd anti-codon position. The record is from RNAcentral. Lineage: Eukaryota; Metazoa; Echinodermata; Crinoidea; Comatulida; Comatulidae.
AUCUCGGUGGUCUAGGGGUAUGAUGCCAGGCUAGUGAUCUGGAGAUCGUGGGUUCGAGUCCCACCCGAGAAC